GACGAACGCUGGCGGCGUGCCUAAUACAUGCAAGUAGAACGCUGAAGGAGGAGCUUGCUCUUCUGGAUGAGUUGCGAACGGGUGAGUAACGCGUAGGUAACCUGCCUGGUAGCGGGGGAUAACUAUUGGAAACGAUAGCUAAUACCGCAUAACAUUGACUAUUGCAUGAUAGUCAAUUAAAAGGUGCAAAUGCACCACUACCAGAUGGACCUGCGUUGUAUUAGCUAGUUGGUGGGGUAACGGCUCACCAAGGCGACGAUACAUAGCCGACCUGAGAGGGUGAUCGGCCACACUGGGACUGAGACACGGCCCAGACUCCUACGGGAGGCAGCAGUAGGGAAUCUUCGGCAAUGGACGGAAGUCUGACCGAGCAACGCCGCGUGAGUGAAGAAGGUUUUCGGAUCGUAAAGCUCUGUUGUAAGAGAAGAACGAGUGUGAGAGUGGAAAGUUCACACUGUGACGGUAGCUUACCAGAAAGGGACGGCUAACUACGUG
Molecule: ribosomal RNA, 495 nt
Filed under: uncultured bacterium
Lineage: Bacteria
Description: partial 16S ribosomal RNA
Rfam family: Bacterial small subunit ribosomal RNA
Source: RNAcentral